RNAcentral lists this ribosomal RNA (468 nucleotides) under uncultured bacterium. RNAcentral describes it as "partial 16S ribosomal RNA". It matches the Rfam family "Bacterial small subunit ribosomal RNA", at positions 28 to 507 of the family's 1533-position model. The record is from RNAcentral.
GUCGAACGCUGGCGGCGUGCUUAACACAUGCAAGUCGAACGGAAAGGCCCUGCUUUUGUGGGGUUCUCGCGUCGCGCACGGGUGAGUAACCCGUGAGUCACCUGCCCUUGACUUUGGGAUAACUUCAGGCACCUGGGGCUAAUACCGGAUAGGAGCUCCUGCUGCUUGGUGGGGGUUGGACCGUUUAGGCGGUUGUGGAUGUACUCGGGGGUUAUCAGCUUGUUGGUGGGGUAUUGGCUUACCAAGGCUUUGACGGAUAGCCGGCCUGAGAGGGGAACCGGGGACCAUGCGACUGAGAGAGGGCGCAGACGCCUACGGUAGGCAGCAGUGGAGAAUAUGGUACAAUGGGGGGAAGCGUGAGGAGGCAACGCCGCGUGCGUGAUGACGGCUUUCGGGGGGGAAAGCGCAUUAGCUUGUGACGAAGCGGGAGUGACGGUAACGGGUAAAGAAGCACCGGCUAACUACGUG